UGGCGGACGGGUGAGUAACGCGUGGGCAACCUGCCCUCCAGCCCGGGAUAACUUCCGGAAACGGGAGCUAAUCCCGGAUGCGGAGCAAAGGACGCAUGUUUUUUGCUCGAAAGCUUCGGCGCUGGAGGAUGGGCCCGCGUCCCAUUAGCUAGUUGGUGAGGUAACGGCUCACCAAGGCGACGAUGGGUAGCCGGCCUGAGAGGGUGAACGGCCACACUGGGACUGAGACACGGCCCAGACUCCUACGGGAGGCAGCAGUAGGGAAUCUUGCGCAAUGGGCGAAAGCCUGACGCAGCGACGCCGCGUGAGGGAAGAAGGCCUUCGGGUCGUAAACCUCUGUCCUUGGGGACGAUGAUGACGGUACCCAAGGAGGAAGCCCCGGCUAACUACGUGCCAGCAGCCGCGGUAAUACGUAGGGGGCGAGCGUUGUCCGGAAUCACUGGGCGUAAA
RNAcentral lists this ribosomal RNA (450 nucleotides) under uncultured bacterium. RNAcentral describes it as "bacterial SSU rRNA". It matches the Rfam family "Bacterial small subunit ribosomal RNA", at positions 96 to 564 of the family's 1533-position model. The record is from RNAcentral.